RNAcentral lists this unclassified non-coding RNA (354 nucleotides) under uncultured fungus. Its description in RNAcentral is "partial contains small subunit ribosomal RNA, internal transcribed spacer 1, and 5.8S ribosomal RNA". The stretch from base 1 to 73 matches the Rfam family "Eukaryotic small subunit ribosomal RNA", at positions 1759 to 1831 of the family's 1831-position model. The record is from RNAcentral. Lineage: Eukaryota; Fungi.
UCAAACUUGGUCAUUUAGAGGAAGUAAAAGUCGUAACAAGGUUUCCGUAGGUGAACCUGCGGAAGGAUCAUUAUUGAAACAUUGUAAAGGAGAGUUGAGCUGGUCCUUCAAGGGCAAGUGCUCGCUUUUCUUUCAAUCUUCAUCCACCUGUGCACCUUUUGUAGAGAGUUCUGAGAAAUCUGAGGAGGCCCUUUAAGUAGGGUUUUCUCUAAGUAUCAGGUUCUCUAUGUUUUUAUACACCCUUGAAUGUAUGUUUUUGAAUGUGUAUAUGAAGGGGCCUUAAUUGGACCUUUUAAAAACUAUACAACUUUCAGCAACGGAUCUCUUGGCUCUCGCAUCGAUGAAGAACGCAGC